This 253-nucleotide ribosomal RNA is filed under the name uncultured bacterium. Its description in RNAcentral is "partial 16S ribosomal RNA". It matches the Rfam family "Bacterial small subunit ribosomal RNA", at positions 524 to 776 of the family's 1533-position model. The record is from RNAcentral.
UACGGCAGGGGCUAGCGUUGAUCGGAAUUACUCGGCGUAAAGAGCGCGUAGGCGGCUUACCAAGUUGGGGGUGAAAUCCCGGAGCUCAACUCCGGAACUGCCUUCAAAACUGGUAGGCUCGAGUCCGGAAGAGGGGCGUGGAAUUCCCAGUGUAGAGGUGAAAUUCGUAGAUAUUGGGAAGAACACCGGUGGCGAAGGCGGCGCCCUGGUCCGGUACUGACGAUGAGGCGCGAAAGCGUGGGGAGCAACCAGG